CUCCUACCAUACCCCACAACCACCGCACUGUCACCAAUGCCACCAUGCACGGCACGCAGAGGGGCAUCCCCACAGGAGCGCAGCCUCACAAGAGGCUGAAUCGUGUGUGCCCACAGAAGAAAACGGCCAAAAACCCUGAGAUGGACAAAUGAAGCCAGUGGGCGAUAGUAGAAUGGUGAUUUGAAAAAUCUGAAUUUUCAACAUUAAGGUUACAAGAUUUGAUAUUCUUAAACCCCAUAAACACGAGUUUCUCUAGGAAAAUAACAUUACUAUAAUUACAGUAUUGCA
Paramuricea clavata is the source of this 288-nucleotide non-coding RNA. The record is from the annotation of a GenBank genome assembly. Lineage: Eukaryota; Metazoa; Cnidaria; Anthozoa; Malacalcyonacea; Plexauridae.